RNAcentral lists this ribosomal RNA (236 nucleotides) under uncultured bacterium. RNAcentral describes it as "partial 16S ribosomal RNA". It matches the Rfam family "Bacterial small subunit ribosomal RNA", at positions 15 to 244 of the family's 1533-position model. The record is from RNAcentral.
GAUCAUGCUCAGGAUGAACGCUAGCGGCAGGCUUAACACAUGCAAGUCGAGGGGCAACAUGAUUGGUAGCGAUACUGAUUGAUGGCGACCGGCGGACGGGUGCGUAACGCGUAUGCAACCUACCUAUUACAGGGGGAUAAGCUGAAGAAAUUCGGUCUAAAACCGCGUAAAACGGGNUAAGGCAUCUUAUUUUGUUGAAAUAUUUAUAGGUAAUAGAUGGGCAUGCGUGACAUUAG